Molecule: long non-coding RNA, 2306 nt
Organism: Leopardus geoffroyi (Geoffroy's cat)
Lineage: Eukaryota; Metazoa; Chordata; Mammalia; Carnivora; Felidae
Exons: 3
Source: RefSeq, a predicted model, not a curated record
AGGCACUGAUGAUACAAAAAUGACACAGACAAAAAUCUCUGCACCCAUGGAACUUACAUUCUUUUAGAGGAGACACGGUAAGCAAGAGAUUCUGAUUCAGGAAGUUCCAUUUGUGGCCCAGGAAUCUAAUCUUUAUUUACCACUUUCCAACCAACACCAUUCCUGACACAGCAAGAAUUCAGGAACGAAUGAAAGGAUGGAAACUCAAACAGAAUGACUAAACUGUAAUACAAAGAUAAUGAACUCCAAUGUAACAGGACAGCAAAUUAGAAGGCUGGGAAGUUGUUAGCCAUAAAAAAGAAAAAGAAAAAGAGCUUUAUUUCCACACUUUUGAAGCAUUCUUUGGAAACCAGAAAAAUCUAGCAAUACAGUUAACCCAGUUACUGUCAGUUCAAUUCUACUUUCAAAAGAAAGCCAGGCUAACAUUUUAAACAGCAAUUAUGUUUUAUGAAAAGGGAAGAAGGAGUGAGAAGAACAUCAAAACCCUCAAAAGCAUGCCAAUGAGAAACCAAUCAGAAAGCAGGUUAGGAUUUCCAUUCACCCCAGCUUUUUGAAAUAAGCAUUUCCUGUCCUUAGCACCCUCCACUUUAUCAGCCUCACAGAGACCUGGGGGAUAUCAGAAGUGGCUACCAAAGGGAUUCAUAUGCUAAACUGAAACACCUGCUUUCCAAAUCAAAGGAAAAAUGAGUAAAACAUGGACCACCCACCCAGUCAGAAACAAUGUACUUUGAGUUGGGUCGCUUUUAUGCCUUUUUCUUUUUAAGUGAUUCACCAGGAGUCUUAGAGAAGAUGGGUCACUUUGAGCAUAUCCCAGGAAAGCUACCCUACAAUAAGUUGUAAUCAUCCGAAACACUAAAUCAAGACCAAGAUUCUUCUGCCUGGUAGACAUGGUGAUGCACCAGUGAUUGAUUACAAGUGGAGAUUACAAAACAAUAACAAAUUGACCACACUCUGGAAUGGCCUUUCAAAGUUGCAAAAUCCCAAUCAGAGUAUCCCAUUUGAAUAUUCCAAGUGAGUUUUUUGAGUUUCCAAAAAACUUUCUUUAAGGGAAAAAAAAAAAUUCUCAAAAUCCAUAAAAUUAUCUUAAUACAUAAUCCAGUUAAGAUUUUUAAAUCUGAUCAAAUACCAUUAAUAAAGAAAAUUACUUCUUAUAUAUUUUUUCUUAUUGUCAAAAACAUGUUUUGAGAUUAUUUAUGAAACCUCUUUCUUUUUUUGUUCUAACCCUGCGAGCUAAACAUGUUCCAUUUAUUUUUAAAUGAAGUGAAAAUUAGCCAGGUGUGUUAAAUAAGCUUUCUAUACACAGGUCUAAAUAUUGACAAAGGGAGAUGUGUCACUGGAAAAAUCAUCAGUCUGGCAAUUAUCACGUUAGCAUGUUAAGUGGAAAAAGAUGUGAAACUUCCAAAUGUGUCAAUACAGAUUAUUUCAUUUCCACUAGCUAUCAGCUAUACUGUGAACAUCAGUUCUUUAAUGUACACUAAGCAAACAGUUCGGCUAAAAAAAAUUUCUCUGUGCCUGGAAAAAAAAGAAAAAAGAAUCACAAGGUCUGGUGCGAAAUCACAUAUGUUUCUAACUACUUAUUCAAAUAACCUAAAAGAGGGAAAGGGAGUACAAAUGGUGACGAAAGAACUUUAUGUAUACAUCUGUGUCUGCACUCCUUUUUCACUGAGUUACAUGAGUGAUCCCCACCAUUCUCAUUAGUCCCAAACCCAGAGUAUUUUCGAUAAAAAUAGCAGUGGCAUUUGCAAAGGGGCAUCAUAUCACUACACUUACGGUACUAAGAAAAUAAAAUAUUUCAGUUGCACACUUUAGACUCCUGUGAACUACACUCGAAGAUGAGAGAAAGUGCUAUUAAUUUUUGGCCUGUGAAACUGAAUAAAUAAAAACUCAUUUAAAAUGGAAUCCAGAGGACAGCAGUGGAAGCUUGCACCACUAUCACUCAAGGUCAAUUGCAGACCCCCACAAGAAGAGGCUGACUUUACUACCCCAGCAGGAGAAAGACUUUCUCCUUGCCCAGCAAUAAACACGGCCAGUAAGAAAAUACCACAACUCAACCAACAGGAAACAGUUACCACCCUGAACUCUUGUUUAUAUCCUCCAAUGAACUUCAUUCAAAGUAGCCCUUCCCAACUUCCUCCUUUUCUCUAUAAAGUAGACUUCCUCUACGUUAACCUCCAGACUUGCCUCAGUUUGCCAUACUUUGUGCAUCCUGAAUCGCAAUUCCUCUGCUAUUCCCAAAUAAACCCAUUUUGGUGGUAAAAAUAGCUGGCUAUUUAAGUUUGGCAGGUGUGAUUAAGAAAGAAUCAGAU